AGAGUUUGAUCAUGGCUCAGGACGAACGCUUGCGGCGUGCCUAAGAAAUGCAAGUCGAACGGUCAGCAAUGACAGUGGCGAACGGUCGCGUAACACGUAAGCAACCUGCCCUAAAGUGGGGGAUAACGUCUCGAAAGGGACGCUAAUACCGCAUGUGGUCGCUCUCUGGCAUCAGGGAGCGUCUAAAGAUUUAUCGCUUUAGGAUGGGCUUGCGGCCUAUCAGGUAGUUGGUGGGGUAAUGGCCUACCAAGCCGACGACGGGUAGCUGGUCUGAGAGGACGAUCAGCCGGAUUGGGACUGAGAUACGGCCCAGACUCCUACGGGGGGCAGCAAUUAGGAAUCUUGCACAAUGGGGGAAACCCUGAUGCAGCGACGUCGCGUGGGGGAUGACGCUUUUCGGAGUGUAAACCCCUUUUGGCAGGGAAGAAAUUUGACGGUACCUGUCGAAUAAGCCCCGGCUAACUACGUGCCAGCCGCCGCGGUAAUAC
This 488-nucleotide ribosomal RNA is filed under the name uncultured bacterium. RNAcentral describes it as "bacterial SSU rRNA". It matches the Rfam family "Bacterial small subunit ribosomal RNA", at positions 8 to 526 of the family's 1533-position model. The record is from RNAcentral.